This is a non-coding RNA of Salmo salar (Atlantic salmon), 211 nucleotides long. The record is from RefSeq and is a predicted model, not a curated record. Lineage: Eukaryota; Metazoa; Chordata; Actinopteri; Salmoniformes; Salmonidae.
GUGACUGGUCUAUGGGUCAACCUGAAGAGUUUAGAGAGGGAGACUUUUCUACUGAACAAAGGUAUAAGGUCAACGUAGCAAGUCUGGUGGACAUGGCAGAGCUCCAUACCCGCAGUCAGACCAGCAGAAACUGGAUCAGCAGCACUACAAGACCAAUCAAGCAGGAGAGACCAGCCUCCCCUGUUCCCAGCUGUGUGUCCAUGAAGAGUGA